RNAcentral lists this ribosomal RNA (495 nucleotides) under uncultured bacterium. RNAcentral describes it as "partial 16S ribosomal RNA". It matches the Rfam family "Bacterial small subunit ribosomal RNA", at positions 28 to 507 of the family's 1533-position model. The record is from RNAcentral.
GACGAACGCUGGCGGCGUGCCUAAUACAUGCAAGUAGAACGCUGAAGGAGGAGCUUGCUCUUCUGGAUGAGUUGCGAACGGGUGAGUAACGCGUAGGUAACCUGCCUGGUAGCGGGGGAUAACUAUUGGAAACGAUAGCUAAUACCGCAUAACAGUAGAUGUUGCAUGACAUUUACUUAAAAGGUGCAAUUGCAUCACUACCAGAUGGACCUGCGUUGUAUUAGCUAGUUGGUGGGGUAACGGCUCACCAAGGCGACGAUACAUAGCCGACCUGAGAGGGUGAUCGGCCACACUGGGACUGAGACACGGCCCAGACUCCUACGGGAGGCAGCAGUAGGGAAUCUUCGGCAAUGGACGGAAGUCUGACCGAGCAACGCCGCGUGAGUGAAGAAGGUUUUCGGAUCGUAAAGCUCUGUUGUAAGAGAAGAAUGAGUGUGAGAGUGGAAAGUUCACACUGUGACGGUAUCUUACCAGAAAGGGACGGCUAACUACGUG